GUGAAUGUUUUAAGACACACACAGGUGUCUCUGGGACAACCAAGUAAAGUGCAACAGGCAGAUGGAUUGAAGAGUUUGGCUAAAGAUAAGGAUUUAGGAACUGCUGAAUUGAAAUUACCCAAGCGUGAGAAGUGGUGUUAUGAUUAAGAGAAAAAAAAAAUGGAGGUCUGAGGAAUAACAUUAAAGGAAUAAAUGAAAAGGCAAAAAAAGGGGGCGGGGGGGUGGUUCAGGAGUGAGCAAAAUGUAAGAAAUCAAGGGAAUAAAUCUUUAAAGUAGGGGUUGUCAAAAAUCUCAAUUACAGAAAAAAAGUCAAGUAAUAGCUUGUGAAUUAAACUGUGGAUUUAGAAUUAAGAUUUUAGACUUCACAGGAAGGGACUGUUAACUACAGAGCCAAAUGGCAGAUUUUAGUUAAGGAGCCAGUGGAAGGUGACAAAGUAGAGGUAAGAAUAUUCCUUCAAAAAGAUUGGCGGUUAAAAAAAAAGAGGCCAGGCUCAGUGGCUCACGCCUGUAAUCCCAGCACUUUGGGAGGCCAAGGUGGGAGAAUGGCGUGAACCUGGGAGGCAGAGCUUGCAGUGAGCCGAGA
Molecule: non-coding RNA, 583 nt
Filed under: Pongo abelii (Sumatran orangutan)
Lineage: Eukaryota; Metazoa; Chordata; Mammalia; Primates; Hominidae
Source: RNAcentral